GCUGGCCGCGGUGCUCCUGGGUGCGCGGGGCUGCCGUCGGCGGGGCCGCACUGCGGCGUGAACGGGAGGUCGGGGCCGCGCUCACCUCUGGACAUUCGGCCUGUUUCCAAAACCGUGCACCUCUCUCCUGUGCAUGAAAUUUCUGUGCGAGAAAAUGGAUUUUCUGAGUGUGCUUCUUGUUUUCUUCACGGCAGUGGCUGUGAGCAGAGCCCAGGUGCAGCAGGAGCCGUCGGCAGAGACCAGCGAAGGCAUCGGUAUCAACAUCACCUGCUCACACCCCAACAUACGAAGCAAUGAGGACAUUCUUUGGUACCGCCAGCUCCCGGGCCGAGGACCCGCAUUCAUCACGAGAGCCGUUAAAGGCUCCAAGAACGUGCCGGACCCGGAGGGGCAGGUGUUGGUGUCGGCAGAUCGCCGCUCCAGCGCCCUGUGGCUCGCCCGGCCCCGGCUCGGCGACGCGGCCGUGUAUUACUGCGCGUUGGUAGCACGGGGAUUCGAGCCGGGGCUGCGGCCGGGCACGAACCGCUUUGGGCGGGGCGGGGGCACAGUGCCGUCCGGGCCCGCAGGGGGCGCUGCCUGCAUGGCCACCAAACUCCAUCCUGACCUGGGUGCACCUCCCUGA
Molecule: non-coding RNA, 622 nt
Organism: Phasianus colchicus (ring-necked pheasant)
Lineage: Eukaryota; Metazoa; Chordata; Aves; Galliformes; Phasianidae
Source: the annotation of a RefSeq genome assembly